UUUUUUAAAAACAUUAAAUCCAAAAUAGCAAACAAAAAAGUUUUUCUCCAAUUCCCAAACCAAUCGGGAAAGCCCCCAAAACCCUUUCCCCUUGCAAGCGAAAAAUUUCCUGCGAUCUCUUCAUAUUCUCCCUCUCCCUUCACUUUCUUCUUUCCCUUUCCUCGUUGAAUUCAUAACUUACAAAAUCCAAAUUCAACAUCAUAUAUGUAUCUAUAUUUUUAAUUGAAUUAGUUUUUGUAUUUUGGAAAUUUCUCUCAAUUCCUUUCCCUAUCCAUGCAUAGUCAAUUUCCCGAAAAAAUUCAGAAAUAUCUACUUCAAUGGGUGCCUUAACAUGUACUAACCGUAAACGCGGUGACGAUUUUUUCACCUCAAAUUACAAAACCCCACUUUCAGUUUCCUCCAAUUUUGAUCACAUAUCCAAAAAACCUAGGCUUAUGAAUCAAAUCCAUGAUCACCCUAUUCCCAGAAAAUCAACAGUUACAAGAAUUUUCAAAUACCCAUCCACCAUAACUCCUAUAAAAAGAGAAAUUCAUGCUCCUUGUAGACGAUCAAAAAUUGGUUUCUAUUCAAAUUUUGACAAAAUGGGGAAUUUUCUAGCGCAACAGUAUGAUAGAGCUAAAAGAAGUGCAUAUGAAACGCUGAGGUAUGUGAAAAAAGAUAAAGAAGUGAUAAAAAUUGAUGAUGAUGACGACGAAAAAAAUUGUGGAAAGGAAUUGGAAUUGGAAAAUGUUUUUUUUGCGAAAAGGGGUCGUGCUAGCGGGUCAGGUCAGAAAAGGGAGGAGAGUAAUGGGGUUGUUGAAAUCAUGGAUAAUUCUGAUAGGAACUUUCAGGUUUCGAGUUUUUCGGCUGUAACAACAGUGUUAAAUGAUGGGAAUUUGAAGGCGGAGAACACAGAAAAGAUGCUGGAUUCGUUAUCUUUGAGUGGCAAGUUUGAUGAUGAUUCUUCGUCCUCCGUACCAUCGUAUAAGAAAUUGUUGGAUUCAGCUGAGAAAAGAAAUGAUAAUUUAAAGAGACUCCAGUUUCAGAUAGAGUAUACUGAGAAGCUUCGCGAGACACAACAUUUGUUGAGGUCCCAGCAGAAAGAAGAAUAUGUUAAGGAGGAUGUGAUCAUAGAACCCUUUGUGCGCCUUGCCGAGGAGGAAGAGGCUGAAGUUUCUCGCGCUUUAUCUAAUUCUAACCGGAGGAAGGUUUUGGUAACCCAUGAAAAUUCCAAUAUAGAUAUAACUGGAGAGAAAUUGCAGUGUUUGAGACCUGGGGCAUGGUUGAAUGAUGAGGUCAUUAAUGUGUAUCUUGAGUUACUCAAAGAGAGAGAAAAAAGGGAGCCCGAAAAGUUCUUGAAAUGUCAUUUCUUUAACACAUUCUUUUACAAGAAGGGAAUCUAUAGGGGAUAUAUUGUUCCAGCUGCAUAUUACAAAAAACGUCUAGCCUUAAUAGGCUGGUAUGGGGUUGAUAAACCAUCAAAGCAUCUUCUGUUCCUUUCCGCCCUUAAAUUCCUGCAAAUGCAAGGUGGAAUCAUCCGCCAUAUGCUUCUGAUGGAUUUUUACCAGCUACUCCAACAUUCAAAAGCCUCUUUGGUGGUCUGUGGCAUGGCUCAACUGAGUCCAAAAAAUGGAUUGAAACAUACUCCACAUAUCAGUGCAACUGUACAUGAAUUAAAAUAAGAUUUUUGGUUUCUAUGGCCUUAUAUCACAUAAAACAUUUAUCACAAUCUGGAUGCUCCUUUUGCUGAGGAUGUCCUGAGUUAGUGAGGCUUCAUGCAGCGCAGUCCAGCUAAAACAUAUGAUAUUUGGAAGCAGUUUUAUCCUUCAUAUUAACUUCCAAGGCCAGUAGUCCCAUUUUGUUUUGUGCCCGAAAUGAAGCAUAUCCAUCUUUGACAGAAUCGCUUCCCAUUAUUACUCCAUGUUAGCAUGCUUCUCUCUAGACUGGAAGAGUAGAGAGAAGUUGAGGAGAGAGAAAGUUGAGGAGUUCAUCAUAUUCCAGUCAUGUAUGUUUCUCUUGAAAAGAGGGUUCCUGGUGUUCCCGUCACUGUUUUUGGGAUGGAAGAGUAAGGAUCCCUAGAGAUCUGAAACAGGUCAAACCCAUAUGGAGCUCUGGAUAACUUAAUACACCAGGGAUUUUGGACACCAUGUUUAGCAUUUAAGACCUACUUCCAAAGAGCUGCUCUUCCUGCUGUACCUCCAUAGCUACUUCAUUAGGACCUUGCCUGGCAUAGAACAUAGGGACAUGUAAUAUGUAGGGAUGCUGCCCAGGACAUUGUUGACUAGUUUAAUCAGUGGCAAGGGAGGCUAUAACUAUCAACCUGUGAAAAGAUGGACAUCCCAAAGGAAGUUGGGGUACAGCCUCUUUGAAUGUGAUAAAAUUUUUGUCCCUAUCCACAAACAAGUACAUUGGUGUUUAGCUGUCAUCAACAAGAAGGAUGAAAAGUUCCAAUAUCUUGAUUCACUUGGAGGAAGA
RNA transcript from Capsicum annuum, 2454 nucleotides. It is a transcript of the gene named ubiquitin-like-specific protease ESD4, with no coding region annotated. The transcript is spliced from 9 exons. The record is from RefSeq and is a predicted model, not a curated record. NCBI's taxonomy places the organism in Eukaryota, Viridiplantae, Streptophyta, Magnoliopsida, Solanales, Solanaceae.